CAAACUGGAGAUGGCGACCGGCGCACGGGUGAGUAACACGUAUCCAACCUGCCGAUAACUCGGGGAUAGCCUUUCGAAAGAAAGAUUAAUACCCGAUGGCAUAAUAGAACCGCAUGGUUUGAUUAUUAAAGAAUUUCGGUUAUCGAUGGGGAUGCGUUCCAUUAGGCAGUUGGUGGGGUAACGGCCCACCAAACCUUCGAUGGAUAGGGGUUCUGAGGGGAAGGUCCCCCACAUUGGAACUGAGACACGGUCCAA
RNAcentral lists this ribosomal RNA (255 nucleotides) under uncultured bacterium. RNAcentral describes it as "partial 16S ribosomal RNA". It matches the Rfam family "Bacterial small subunit ribosomal RNA", at positions 77 to 334 of the family's 1533-position model. The record is from RNAcentral.